GGCUAUUCAUGCUAGAAGCCACUGGAAUGACAAAGCACAGUGUUGCAGGCCUCAAUAGUUAGUUGAGCACAGAAUAUCAACAUAUUCUACGUGCUUGAUGCUCCAAACAAUCUAACAGCAUGAUAACCACCAAACACAUAGUCCGUUUAGUCAUCUUACAAAUAAUAUCUUAAGGAGACUCAAUCACUUUCUUUAUGCAUAUAUUGCACAGAUAUGAACAAUGAGGCUCCAUAAUGCGGAGGUGACAUGAAAUAUAAAUUGCAUU
Molecule: unclassified non-coding RNA, 265 nt
Filed under: Hevea brasiliensis (rubber tree)
Lineage: Eukaryota; Viridiplantae; Streptophyta; Magnoliopsida; Malpighiales; Euphorbiaceae
Source: RNAcentral